UUCUGAAAGAAAUUUGGAUUGGAGUCGAUCGAAUCCUGUUGGGAAAAAAAUCUGGAAGAGGUCCGGAGAACGGUUGACUCUUGUAGAAGGUCGGUCGGCAGUAGAAUCCCGAGAACAUUUGGAGCAGCCUGAUAGACGACUGAAGAAGCUCAUCAUUGGAGAAGUCCGGGAGAUGUGGCAGGGAUUCGUCCGUCGGGGGAACCCAGUCGACACUUGCAGAAGAAGCUAUGGGAGUUUAUCCGUCAGCAGAAUUUGGGAAUGUUGCAGAAGCUCAACCGUCGGAGAGGUUUAGAAAUAUGUCGCCCA
Molecule: long non-coding RNA, 306 nt
Filed under: Elaeis guineensis (African oil palm)
Lineage: Eukaryota; Viridiplantae; Streptophyta; Magnoliopsida; Arecales; Arecaceae
Description: long non-coding RNA (EGUI_LNC042377)
Source: RNAcentral